AGGGCAGAUUAUCAAAUAAGGGCCUUUCAGGGGCGUGGUGGGAUGGAAUAGGUCGCCUCCUCUGUCAGGGUGAUGAGAAGCAGGAGCUUCAUGAUUGGCUGCUUCCAAAUGGGGCAGGACAUCCCAAGUCUGCAGCUGAGGGGCGGGGAGGUCAUCUGUGCACGUGUUCUCCUCCAGUCCCCAGAGAAAUGGCCGCUCGGUCGCCAUCCCAAGGUGACUUCCAAGGUGACUCUUACAAUUACCAUCUUCCCUAUUUUCUAGCAAAAGUCAGAGUUCUCCGGGAGCGGUUCCUGCAUCUUUUCUCCUUCCUGGUUCGCAGAUUGAGCGGCUUCCCACCCCUCCCCAUCUGCAGAGGAAUGUCUGUCGAUGAGAAGCUGGACCCUUGCGUCGGGCUUUUCCGGCACAGCCUCGGGGGCCCUGCCCAGUGUCUGGCGAUUCAGAGCACCCCAGGGUUCACAUACCGCCUGGGGAGGUUAAAAGCAAAAACAGAAAACCUUGCCCAUGGGCAAAAACUUCUCUUUUUGAAAAAUCUUGCAGUUGUGUGUCUGGAUAAUAUUUGACAAUUUAACAUAUAUCUUUAUUCCUUUCUGUGAAAUUUUCUCUUUUAUUCUCCUUAUCCUAUCCCUGGACCCCAGGGGAAGAGUGUAGCAGAGCAGAAAAGAGAAAUACCUUCCAGGUCAUGCUAGGUUAUGUUUCCAAAUGUUUAGCGAUGGCAGACGGCAGAGGAUGUCAAGGCUUGCACAGGACAUCCCAACAAAACGGGAAGAUCUUCCCAAACCAGAACAAGCACUGGAGGCAAGGCACCUUUUGACACUCGCUGUGACGGCAUUGGAACAUUUAUCUGAAGUCUUGAGAUGGACACAGAAUUUACUACUGAGUCCUGAAAUUCCUGCGGGUUAUGAUGAGCUCACUGUGAAUUCAGCCAGAGAGGGACAUGUAGCCUGUAAGUUGGGCACACAGCGGUUGGCGGAUAGAAGAAACCAAGGGUAAUGGCAACCUUGUUAGAACUUUCUGAGAGGAUUAAUUUCUGUUAGUUGCAGAAAAAGAGCUCGAAAUGGAGGAAGGUGAAAAUCGCUCACGUGGCCUGCAUCUCGGCUUCUCAAUUUCCACAACACUCACCACUGCUACCAUAGCAGCGUCCGCUUAGAUCUUUCUGGGGCUCGGAAAUGUAAAUCCGACUCCCAGGGAACAUUUUUUGAAAGGCGCGAAGUCACACAUUCUGUGCUGCACUUCAGACACUCAUGUCCUGGCGCCCCAAAGAAGAGACAGGAAGUGCGGCAGGGGCCUCGCCGGGGUCUGCCCUGUGAUCUCUGAGGUUUGGGUCAGGACAGGCGAGAGAGCAGACAGAGCCAAGACGGUUGAGAUGUCCUGAUGACUUUGCAGCCUUUGAAAAUCCAAGCAAAAGCCCCCUUCUGUCCGGCUACAGAGCCAGCUUCCAAGGCAGAGGGACCCUUGUGUCCCCUGCAGAUGUGACAAGAAACUGAGCUGAGCUCUUUCCAAAGAUGAUUUGACCACAGACCUGGAAAGCUCAAGCAUCUGUAUUCGACAAAGCAAAGAGGGACUUGAAUUGGAACAGGAAUUUCAUUGUGUGGACGAUAAGUGCAUGAAAGUCAAAGUGAUUCUCUAUUAGCAAGAACCAACUAAAAAUGAAAAUGAGAAUAAAUAGUGUAUUCCAAAGAGUGACAAAUAUAAGAUUCUUGGGACUGAAGUUCACGAGAAUGGCACAUACCCCAAAUAAAGGACAAAAGAUGUGUUCUGAAUGAA
Molecule: long non-coding RNA, 1764 nt
Organism: Suricata suricatta (meerkat)
Lineage: Eukaryota; Metazoa; Chordata; Mammalia; Carnivora; Herpestidae
Exons: 2
Source: RefSeq, a predicted model, not a curated record